GUCUCUUCCGGCGGUCUCUUCUAUUACCGUCGAUCUGGGCUUCACACCAGGAGGCGGGGUGGUUGUUACGUAACUCACAGACCUUUUGUUUUUCAGGCUAUUCUCAUAGCACUUCUUCGCUUCUUUCUGGUCGGAUUUGAUGGUGAUCACCACCCCCUCCAUAGACGGCAACUUCACCUUCAUGUGCCGGGUCGACGGUAUA
This 202-nucleotide long non-coding RNA is filed under the name Phaseolus vulgaris (common bean). Its description in RNAcentral is "long non-coding RNA (PVUL_LNC002138)". Lineage: Eukaryota; Viridiplantae; Streptophyta; Magnoliopsida; Fabales; Fabaceae. The record is from RNAcentral.